UUAUAUGAGAGUUUGAUCCUGGCUCAGGAUGAACGCUGGCGGCGUGCCUAAUACAUGCAAGUCGAACGAGUUCUCGUUGAUGAUCGGUGCUUGCACCGAGAUUCAACAUGGAACGAGUGGCGGACGGGUGAGUAACACGUGGGUAACCUGCCCUUAAGUGGGGGAUAACAUUUGGAAACAGAUGCUAAUACCGCAUAGAUCCAAGAACCGCAUGGUUCUUGGCUGAAAGAUGGCGUAAGCUAUCGCUUUUGGAUGGACCCGCGGCGUAUUAGCUAGUUGGUGAGGUAAUGGCUCACCAAGGCGAUGAUACGUAGCCGAACUGAGAGGUUGAUCGGCCACAUUGGGACUGAGACACGGCCCAAACUCCUACGGGAGGCAGCAGUAGGGAAUCUUCCACAAUGGACGCAAGUCUGAUG
This 416-nucleotide ribosomal RNA is filed under the name Lacticaseibacillus paracasei. Its description in RNAcentral is "bacterial SSU rRNA". It matches the Rfam family "Bacterial small subunit ribosomal RNA", at positions 1 to 388 of the family's 1533-position model. The record is from RNAcentral. Lineage: Bacteria; Bacillati; Bacillota; Bacilli; Lactobacillales; Lactobacillaceae.